GCAUCUCCGAACGUCAGAGAUGGAGAGUGAGAGGAGUUUAUGUCGGAAGGAAGUUUUUGUUCACUAUGGAGCAGGAAUUGCAGAGGGCUCAGUGGAAGCAGCGGGCAGAUAGGGAAGCAGCUGGGCCUGAGGUUCAGAAUCGUUGUAUUGGGGGGAGGGGGUGCCUAUUGAGAACCGAGUCUGGAGGGAAAGGUUGGGGAGAGUUAUAUGGAGGGAAGCAGGUUGAGAAACAAAAUAUUUUAGCAGGCACUCCACUGACUCACGGCUGAAAGCAGGGAAAGAUUCAUUUCACAUGAUUGCAAGAAUGGGGGCCUAGGUGAGUAGACCCACCUUUAAAAUUUCAAAGGCAGCGUUUUAUUUCCUUCCCAGAAGCACAAGCCCCUCCUCUGAUUCCUCAUUAAUUGGAUGUUACAAAAGUUACAUGAGUCUCCAGUCCUCAUUACAUAGGCAGUCCCUGCCCCAAAGGAGUUUCCAUUCUAGAAGAGAAGAAGGGGAAAGGUAACAGAGCAAAGAAUAAAAGAGUCUUUUCCAAUCAAAAGGCACCACUCCAGAACACAAGUCAGUCCCUGCCCCCAAGGAGCUUACAUUCUUUUGGAGGAAGAUAACCAACUUCCACCCUUGAUUAUUCCUUGAUGUCCUCAUGGGUCUCAGCCUUCUAAUUUAAGCUUCAUUUCACCAACUUUCCUAACUGUGGAAACCAAAUACCCAUCCAUUUCUCACAAGGUGAUCAGACUGUUCCAAGUCAGUCUCAUGGCAGGACCUACCUCCUGGCUGGACUGACCUGGAGAUGGUAUAAGUUUGGGCAGGAGGCAGAGGUGGUUGCUCACUGCUGGUGAAUACCCUGGAGGAUGAGAGGUGGAAAGGGUCUCAUUACUGGCCUGACCACCUGGACCCGGUUCUGGAGAUGGCCCUGAGGCAUUUUAUUUUGUGUGCAGGAAUAAAUGACCAGUUCCCUGCCAGAUUCAUGGUAUACAUUCAGUACCGUUUUUCUUUUUAAACAGCUUCCUUUUGGGGAAACCCUAGAAGUGAACCACAACCUAAUUUUUCUCUGGGGUCAAGGGUGGAAAGUUUGAUGAAUCAGUGAGGAUGAGAAAAGAAGCCUUCUCAUUAGGGGCCAAGUUUCCCCAGACAGGAAGCCUGGGUCCAAAACAGAAGGGUCCCUUAGUGCAUCAGGAUACAGUGCAUCAUCACCUUGGGAUCCUUGGGACCAUCACUAGUUUCCACAAGGCUAGACUUAUGUGAUUGAGUUGCUUCCCCUGAUAGAAUGAUAUGAGCUACAUAAGCUGCUAUGUACAUCUUAGCUAUUAUUAUUAGUAUUAUCCAAUUCAGGGGUCCUCAAACUAUGGUCCGCGGGCCAGAUGCAGCAGCUGAAGACGUUUGUCCCCCUCACCCAGGGCUAUGAAAUUUCUUUAUUUAAAGGCCCACAAAACAAAGUUUUUAUUUUUACUAUAGUCCGGCCCUCCAACAGUCUGAGGAACAGUGAACUGGCCCCCUAUUUAAAAAGUUUGAGGACCCCUGAAUUCUAACUUAUAUCUCUUCAUCUUUUCCACAAAAAAUCGUAUGAGAUACUUUGUCAAUCGUUUUGCUAAAAUCUAAGUAAAUAUAUUUGAGGUAGCUAGCUGGCUCAAUGGAUUGAGCACUGGGUCUGGAGUCAGGAUAACUUGAGUUCAAAGGCCAUCUAAGCUGUAUGACCUUGGGCAAGUCAAUUAACUCUGCUUGCCUCAAUUUCCUCAUCUGUGAAAGGAGUUGGAGAAGAAAAUGGCAAGCUGCUCCUUUGCCAAGAAAACCCCAAAUUGGGUCAGAAAAAUUAGGACACAAUUGAACAAGUAAUCUACAGAGUUCCCUAUUAGAGCAGUUAAUUUUUUAAAAAAAUUUUUAUCAUUUACAAGCAUUUCAAUAUACAAGGAACAAAAAAAGAGGAUUAUGUAGAAAACUUUGAAUUUCUGUUAUGAAUUUUUAAAAGUGUACAUAAAGUAAUUGAGUUUAUCACCUUGUCCAGAAAUGAAAUGAGGUUAAGGCAUAAUCUGUUCUUGAUGAAGUCUAACUUUGUGACCACCCUUUCCUCUUCUAGAUAAUUAUUGUUUUAAACUUUUCUCCCUUUCUUUGCCCUCCUAGUACAUUAUUAGUGGGAUUCAAUCCUUGUAUGGCCCAUCUCUUCAGCACGAGGUGCUUUGGUGAAAUCGAUAGUAUUUCCAAGAUCUUCCAGAUCAUCCCAUCCUCACCGAAGGAAAUAAAGGGACUCACUGUGGCCUGGUCUUGAGAACCUUGUUGACACAAACUUUCUUUUAAUGGUACUUGCUCAAAUGCUGACUAAAAUUACAGGGGAAACCCACUGGUUUAUUUUGUAGAUGAACAAAAGCUUCCUUUUCUGGAAAAUCAGGUGGACAUCUGCUUUUUUCCAGUUUUCCAAAGAUUAUCAACAGGGGCUCAGCAACAGCAGCAGGUCAAUAGUAGCAGGAGCUCAGCAGUUCAAGUGCAAGGGUAGGCCAUCUUAGUGCUCUGAGUCAUUUAGGCCUCUAAGGCCCCAGAGCAAGAGUGAGCUCAUCAUAGAGACAUCAGAGCUUGGGGAAGAAGCUGUGGACUUGGAGGCAGAAGGGGCCUGGCUUAUUACCCCACUCCCAUCACUAACUAGAUGACUCUGCCCUUCUAGUCAACUGCAAAAACAUUUAGAAAGGUGGCCCAUUAUUAGCUGUGUAAUACACUGGACAGGAUGUUGGCUCUGCAAGUCAGAGGACCUGGGUUCAAAUCCACAUCAGAUGCUGACUGCUGGUGUGACCCUGAAAAAUUAUUUCUUCUCUGAAGCUUUAGUACUCUUGCCAAAGCCUCAGGACUGGUCUCUCUUCUUCCAGUUCUACUCACACACAGCUUUAUUCAUGUCAUGUCCCUGAUUAAAAAUCUUCAAUGCCAUUUUCUAGACUGAGGUAUAUAUUAACGUCUAAACACCUGAGCCUGGCAUUCAAAGUCCUCCUUUCUCUGGUCCCAGCCUUGCCAAUUUCCCUUGAUUCUCCUUCAUGCACUCUGUAUCGUUUCAGGUGGAUUAGUUGACUUCAGUGUGUCAAAUAAUCACCAAACACUUAAGCAUCUAGAUGGAGAAGCAAUUAGAGUGCUGGGCCCAAAGUCAGACCUGAGUUCAAAUUCAGCCUCCAAUAUAAGUUGUGAGAUUUAAGGGAUGGCACUGUGCUGAGCAUUCUGGGUACAAUGAAAAAGACAGACAAUUCCUGCCUUCUAGGAGCUUACAAUCGAAUAAGGGAAGACAACACAUAAAAGGAGGCAGAAAGAGGGAAGAGUGAAAAGGCGGGAUCAUCCCUAGGCAGAUCAUGGCCAACCAUUCUCUUCCUCCUGAGUUCCAGCACCACGUCACCAACUAUCUAUUAUAAAUUCCAAACCAGCUUUGUCCGUAUGCCGUCUCCUACGGAAGCCUUUUCCCGUUACUCAUUCCCCAGCUAAGAGCAGCUCUCCCCCCACCAAAAUACCCUCUAUGUGUUUUGUUCCUAUUUCAAUGCAUACGUAUUGUUUUCUAUGAUCAAAUAUAAUCUCCUUGAGGAUACAGAUGAGCUCACUUUUUAUUAAUAACCUGCUGGCCUUAUUAAUAAACUGAUUACAUCACCCAGAAACCAUGUCUCUUGAACCUUUUUAAUUGUGCAGGUGGUUGGUGACAUUGCUGGUCAAUGUUUUUAACUGCCUCCCAGCUAGAGGGUGACUUACCGUCAGUGACUGGUGAUGGCCCACCAGUGCUUUGCUCCUAAAUAAUGAAUGCAAAUAGCAUUUACGGAGCAACACACUGUGCUGGGGCUCUUGAAUACUUGGUUAAGGAUAAGGAAGCUCAUCCUAAGACAAUGGAGAGCCAUAAGAGGCUUCUGGACCAGAGGAUAAAGUGUGCAAACCUAAUCUGGCCGGGGUAUUGUAGGAUCAAUUGGAGGCAGAGCCCAGAAGUGGGAAGAACCUUAGGUCGGAUUCACUGCAAUGAACCAGGUCAGAAGUGCUGAGGACCUGGACCUGAUGGGAGGAGGAUAGCAGAAAUGAGGAAAGGAAGGGAGAAGCCGCGUGAAUGUGUUCAUCGUGGAACGCUUCAUACUGUUGUUACUUCUGUUUGUGGUAAGGGUUCCGGAUAGACUUUGACCUCUGUAGGAGGCCACCUCCCCUCCGUGCUUAGCACAGUGCUCCCCACACAGCAGUGAUGCGGCUGAUACAGGCAGGCACCAAAGUGGGGGUUCGGUCACGUGAAGGAUUCACAAAGCCAUUCGCUUUGGCAAAAGAAAGAUUUAUUCAGGGAAGAGGUCACAGACAAAAUGAAGGGAUACCACAGACACUGGGAAUGGUAAAUAUGAAACAGUGGAAGAGCAUGUGAAAGACAACUUCCUCAGUGGAACUCACAAUUACUCAGUGGAAAGGGAGCCCCCCGUGAAGUUGGAACAUGUCCUUAGCUGGCAGGCUCAACCCUGAAAGGGACUUAGCCUCCCUAAAAGAGUGAGCUGUAAGGAAAAGUGGGGUUGGGAAGCAUAGUGGAGUCAGGGGAGAUACCAUGUGGAGUGGGGAAA
This is a long non-coding RNA of Antechinus flavipes (yellow-footed antechinus), 4538 nucleotides long. RefSeq lists it as uncharacterized. The record is from RefSeq and is a predicted model, not a curated record. The transcript is spliced from 2 exons. Lineage: Eukaryota; Metazoa; Chordata; Mammalia; Dasyuromorphia; Dasyuridae.